Molecule: ribosomal RNA, 416 nt
Filed under: uncultured Actinomycetes bacterium
Lineage: Bacteria; Bacillati; Actinomycetota; Actinomycetes
Description: bacterial SSU rRNA
Rfam family: Bacterial small subunit ribosomal RNA
Source: RNAcentral
GAGUUUGAUCAUGGCUCAGAUUGAACGCUGGCGGCGUGCUUAACACAUGCAAGUCGAGCGGAAAGGCCCCUUCGGGGGUACUCGAGCGGCGAACGGGUGAGUAACACGUGAGCAACCUGCCCCUGACUCUGGGAUAAGCCCGGGAAACUGGGUCUAAUACCGGAUAUGACCGGCCUUCGCAUGGAGUGCCGGUGGAAAGUUUUUCGGUUGGGGAUGGGCUCGCGGCCUAUCAGCUUGUUGGUGGGGUGAUGGCCUACCAAGGCGACGACGGGUAACCGGCCUGAGAGGGCGACCGGUCACACUGGGACUGAGACACGGCCCAGACUCCUACGGGAGGCAGCAGUGGGGAAUAUUGCGCAAUGGGCGGAAGCCUGACGCAGCGACGCCGCGUGGGGGAUGACGGCCUUCGGUUGUAA